GAUGAACGCUGGCGGCGUGCCUAAUACAUGCAAGUCGAACGCUGGAAAUCUAGCUUGCUGGAUUGAAGGAGUGGCGAACGGGUGAGUAAUACAUAAGCAACCUACCCACGAAGACUGGGAUAAUCUCUGGAAACGGGGACUAAUACCGGAUAGGUAAUCGGAAGGCAUCUUCUGAUUAUUAAAGGUUAAAAACACUGGUGGAUGGGCUUAUGGCGCAUUAGUUAGUUGGUGAGGUAACGGCCCACCAAGACGAUGAUGCGUAGCCGGCCUGAGAGGGUGAACGGCCACAUUGGGACUGAGACACGGCCCAGACUACUACGGGAGGCAGCAGUAGGGAACUUUCGGCAAUGGGGGAAAACCUGACCGAGCAACGCCGAGUGAGUGAUGACGGCCUUCGGGUUGUAAAGCUCUGUUGUAAGGGAAGAACGGUAGAUAGAGAAUAUCUAAAUGACGGUACCUUACCAGAAAGCCACGGCUAACUACGUG
This 486-nucleotide ribosomal RNA is filed under the name uncultured bacterium. RNAcentral's name for it is "partial 16S ribosomal RNA". It matches the Rfam family "Bacterial small subunit ribosomal RNA", at positions 28 to 507 of the family's 1533-position model. The record is from RNAcentral.